CAGGACACACGUCACGCUGCUGUUUGUUUAACAGCGACAGGACACACGUCACGCUGCUGUUUAACACGGGGUGUUCACGCACCUGCCUUCGGCGGGGCAGGAAAACACAAGCAGCUGCAGGGACAGCGGAGGGGGAGAACAGAGGGGAUCAAGGGGAUUCAAAGUGGAUCAAGGCGGCGGUUGUUCGCAGAAGCGUUUCGGUUGGAAAAGCUCCUCAGGCUCAUCGAAUCCGACUGUUCCCUGCCCCAUGUCCUGAGAACCCCGUGUCCUGUCCAGCCCUCCAGGGACGGCGACUGCAGCACUGCCCCGGGCAGCCCCUCAUGUGCCGCCUGUUCCAGCAGCUUCUCAACACCCCCCUCGUGUUCCUCAUCCCCGAGGAGCGGCCGAGGGACCUGGGGGUUCACUGGAGAACAGGAGCUGAGGGGAGACCUUCUGAUCUCUGAACUGCCUGAAAGGAGCUUGGAGCCAGGGGGGUCGGGCUCUGCUCCCCAGGAACAAGCGCCAGGAGCAGAGGAAACGGCCUCAAGUUGUGCCAGGGGAGGUUGAGGUUGGAUGUGGGAACAAUUUCUUCCCCAAAGGGCUGUGGGGCAUUGGAACAGGCUGCCCAGGGCAGUGCUGGAGUCACCAGCCCUGGAGGGCUGGACAGACGGACAGGAGGUUCUCAGGACACGGGGCAGGGUGGGUUAUGGUUGGACUCCAUGAGCUUGAGGGGCUUUUCCACCCAAGGUGACCCUGUUUCCUCUGCCAUGGCCCGUGUGGCCGCCAGGCUGCGCUUCACCCUGAUGUCUCAGCACCACCGUGAGCCUCUGGAGUUGUCACCUCUGCUGGUCCCACGUUACAGGACCAUUCCUCCAGCACACAUUCAGCCUCGUGCACUGUGGGAAACUGCAGCGGGUCUGUGGAAUCCUUGACAGAAAAUAGGAGCGUAGAGAUCAGCCUUGAGACAUUAAGAUUUGCCCUUGAGAAGGAUGGGAGUAAAGGAGUAUCCGGAGAGAGGAGAGAUGUACCCGGGAGAGAGCAGGGGAUAGAAGAAUAACAUGGAUGAUAGCAAAAUUAGCCAAUGAGAUGUUAGUGCUGUAACUUGUAACCAAUAGUGAAAAGACACAUGAACUGGUAGAAUUGUAUAAAAAUGCACUUGUAGCAAUAAAUGGCAUCUAUUACUUUCAUCUUGAAAGAA
This is a long non-coding RNA of Columba livia (rock pigeon), 1177 nucleotides long. RefSeq lists it as uncharacterized. NCBI's taxonomy places the organism in Eukaryota, Metazoa, Chordata, Aves, Columbiformes, Columbidae. The record is from RefSeq and is a predicted model, not a curated record. The transcript is spliced from 2 exons.